This 870-nucleotide long non-coding RNA is filed under the name Homo sapiens (human). RNAcentral's name for it is "HSALNT0070106". The record is from RNAcentral. Lineage: Eukaryota; Metazoa; Chordata; Mammalia; Primates; Hominidae.
AUCAUGACUCACUGCAGCAUUUACCUCCUUGGCUCAAGCUAUCUUCCCACAGUAACCUCGGAAGGAACUGGGAUUACAGAGAGGAGGUGGUGUAAUACGGCCAAAUAGAAGCCUUCGCUGAUUGUACUCCCCACUGCAACAUCAAAUUUAACAACUAUGUACAGAAAAAAAAAUCACCUUCAAAAGAAUAAAAAAUCAGGUGAGCAAUUAUAGUAACUGAUUUUAAUUUUAUAUUGAUGAAAGAGGCAUUGAAGAGUGAUGAAAGACAGUCUUGAGUGGCCAACACCACUCCUCCCCCGCCCUCCAGCAGUGGCCAUGUGGUGUAGAGAAUCUGCAUUUGGUGGUGGGGGACUGCAGUAAUGCAGUAAUUGUGGGAACUAUGCACUGGAACAUAGUUCUGCCCUGUCACAGCAGAAAGUAUCAUCAGGCAGAACUCAUCCAGCGUCCAGGGAGGGAGCAUUUAGAUGAGCCCUAACCAGAGGGGAAUUGCACAUCUCAGUGGAUAAAACUUGAGUUUCUGCAAGCCUUGCCAUUGUAGGCUAUAGUACUCUGGGAUCCUAAAUAAACUUGAAAGGCAGUCUAGGCCACAAUGACUGUAACUCUUAGGCAAGUCUAGUGAUGUGCUGGGUUCAAAGCUAGUGGACUCCGGGGGCAUGCAAACUAGUGAAACACCAGCCAGGGCAGCUAAGGGAGUGCCUGCACCCUUUUUCCAACCCCAUGCAGUGCAGGUCACAGCUCUGAAUGAGAGUCCUUUGUUCUGCUUGACAAGAGGAGAUGGAAGAGUAAAGAGAACUUUGUCUUGCAACUUGGGUACUAGCUCAGCCACAGUAGGAUAGGGCACUGGGACGACUUGUGAGGCCCGCAUUGCAG